CCUCGAAUCAGGUGGGACUACCCGCUGAACUUAAGCAUAUCAAUAAGCGGAGGAAAAGAAACUAACAAGGAUUCCCCUAGUAACGGCUAGUGAAGCGGGAUGAGCUCAAAUUUAAAAUCUGAUAGUCUUUGGCUGUCCGAGUUGUAAUCUAGAGAAGUGUUUUCCGCGUUGGACCAUGUACAAGUUUCCUGGAACGGAACGUCAUAGAGGGUGAGAAUCCCGUCCUUGACAUGGACUACCAGUGCUUUGUGAUACACUCUCAACGAGUCGAGUUGUUUGGGAUUGCAGCUCAAAAUGGGAGGUAAAUUCCUUCUAAAGCUAAAUAUUGGCGAGAGACCGAUAGCGAACAAGUACCGUGAGGGAAAGAUGAAAAGCACUUUGGAAAGAGAGUUAAACAGUACGUGAAAUUGUUAAAAGGGAAACGAUUGAAGUCAGUCGCGUUUACUUGGACUCAGCCUUACCUCGGUUUGGUGCAUUUCCUUGUGAACGGGCCAGCGUCAAUGUUGUCCGUUGGAAAAGGGUUGGAGAAAUGUGGCUCUUUCGGGAGUGUUAUAGUCUCUGAUCGUAUACAACGGCUGAUAUUGAGUGGUACAGCUUGCUUCGGCGGUGCUUGUGCUGGC
RNAcentral lists this ribosomal RNA (620 nucleotides) under uncultured Basidiomycota. RNAcentral describes it as "LSU rRNA". It matches the Rfam family "Eukaryotic large subunit ribosomal RNA", at positions 1 to 624 of the family's 3401-position model. The record is from RNAcentral. Lineage: Eukaryota; Fungi; Basidiomycota.